Long non-coding RNA from Varroa destructor (honeybee mite), 4353 nucleotides. The record is from RefSeq and is a predicted model, not a curated record. Lineage: Eukaryota; Metazoa; Arthropoda; Arachnida; Mesostigmata; Varroidae.
CCCAUAUUGAUGUAGUUUAAACUCACUAGGAGGAUGAUGCUGCCCAGGAAAAUGUGUUGGGCUACAGACUGUUUCUGGACCACAAUCUUUCAGAAGUGUUUGGCAAAAUCAUAACGGACCCGUCAUUGCGCCGAUGUAAAAGCCUUUGUGUUUAGAACGGGCUUACUCUAAACAUGCCAAUGUCUACUGAGAAGCUGCCAACAAAUUUUACUGUCUAAUUAUAACCGUAGUCAUGCAAGAUUUGUCUAAGCAGCGAUAGCGCGAUAGGUAGUCAAUUGUGUUCGAAAACUGGGAGUGUUAAUCAUGUAAAGCAAAAUCGAAAGACGCAAUCUAACAGGGUGUAUUUACCGAUGCACCAUACAAUAGUCGCAUAUAGAUGAAAUUUACCUAUUUUAGCUUAUUGACAACUCUGCAAACAAACAGAUCAUUUCGCUAACGCGACUUUAUCAGACGUUAAGAACGCCCUUAUUUUUAUUGUUUGAGAGGAUUAAUGUCACUUUGACCUUGCCUGUCUUCAAGAGAAAGCAAAUCAAAAAUUGAAUGUAUCUAUUCCCUUUAGGUUAAGUCUUUUCACUGCGAAAAGCAAUAACAGCUGCCAAUACAAUUGACUUCCAUUUCAUCCCCUUUAAAAUAGUCACUUUCAUCGUCAGGCUGAGAGCUUUGUUCAUGAAUGUUUUAACAUUAGUACAUCGUUAACUAGUUAACAUUAUUGUGCGUCUAGAAUUUAACUUCUUCCGACGGUAAAAGCUUCUAAAGGUGUCCUCAAAGCUUUUACCGUCGGGUGUCCGACUCUGUUUCAUAAAAAUAUAUGCGCAUUAACGCAAUCUUCCAUUUUUAGACCAAACAUUAGUCUGCAAUAUGUGAUUUCAUAGUAGAAAAAAACAAAGUGCGUAACAAGUCGCACCUGAUUAUUGCUGGACAAUUGAUAGUUUGUGGUAAGUUGUGACAAUCACUUCGUUGGAAACUGCUCUUCGGUAAGUUAGAUGCAGAUUGGAAAAAGUUAAUUAAAUACGGACGGACAAACAGAUUGCCUAUCUUCUUGUUCGCUAGUCAUACACGUUUUCAAUGAGCUGUUACAAACGCCCGCCAACUGGUGAGCCAAAAAGAAGCGAAAUAAAUCUAGAGAUAAAUAAAUGUCAAACAGAUAGAUAAACUGUGCCUUGUGUUCGAAUAUCGCUUGUAGCAGUCGUUUCGGGAACCAUUAAACGUAACCAGAAAAUCUGCCCUUAUGGUCAGCUUAACAAAUAUCAAGUGGCAGAGAAAUUUCGUUAUUGUGUUUACCCUCGAUAUGUACUCGUUGUAGUUCAUGCAUUUAUAGUUACUCACAGUAUUUAUCGGACGGUAUUUAUACACCGUCAUUAAGGCCAUUAAUAUUGCACGCGCAAGCAGGCCUUCCCCUGGCCAAUUCCUAGAAAAAACGUUUCUUAAAUCCGUAACGAAUUAAUUUUAAUACAGACUCACCGCCUCAAAUGAUCCGCUUAACUCCUUCAAAUAGCCCGUAAUCAGAAUACAUUUCUAACAAUCUCUUCUUUCAGAUUUUCGGCUGAGUGAUUUUAACAAUGGAAUUUAAUAACAAAUUCUUAGAAGUCGGUUCCGGUUAGGAACGCAUGGCGUAGAAUGAUAGAAAAAUUUGCCGAUCAGAAAAUUAAUAGACAUAUCUUAACGAGUUCACAGAGGUGUUGUUCUUAGUAAUCGGUUCCACCUUGUUUUCAAGUCUAUUGUAACCUUCGUCGAAUAUUGCAAGCUUGUAUUUUCUACCUGGCAUAUCCUGCACAGCACCCCGACUAGUAGAAAAAUCUGACUAUGAGCGGCAUAUCAAGCGUUUACUGUUUAUUUUCUUGUCUUUAUGUUUCCAUCUGGUUCAGCUUCGUUUCAUGAUGAAAACGCUACAGCCAGCUAUCGUUAUCUAUUGAAUACGUGUAACUGAGAAGUCCAUUCAUUGGUCGCCUGCGGAGAGCAACGUUCUUGAGCAGGUAACUCCUGAGCUCAUACGCUUGCUGGGUCCUCCUGGGUUCUCUAUGGGAACCGCUGUAAGUUUCGAAACUUUUCAUAGUGCGGUCUCUUCGUAGACCUGAUUCUGCUCAAGCAAACAGGCUAUUUUGGCAGCACAGGAGCAUAUUUGUUUCAAAGGUUGUUAACCAAUACACCUCUUAUAACAAUAACCUCUAGGGUUUUCUCUCAAGGGCAUACCGGGAGUGACCACAAUAAUAAUUCUUCUAUUCUAUAGCGGAACGGCUGGACGACCACCCGCUACCGGCUUUUAGAAGUUCUGCGCACGUUCCUAAUCCAUUUGGUUGCCAGCAGCUCACUCAGACUAUGUGUAUACAUACUGCUUUUUAAAAUCGAAUGAUACACACAAUUAUACGCCUAAGUUGGAAAACACCGUAUUUCACGUUUAUCUUCUCUAAUAAAGCGUUCUGAAAUCACGUAGAUAUUCAGAUAAACUAAUCCGAUUGUUUUCACGCUAAAAAUCCCUUGUUUAUAAUACGGAACGCGAUAACAUUUUUUUUUUUUGUUUUAGUAGCCUGCCGCUCACAGUCAAAAACACGUAGAGCAUUUAAUAUCUAUCAUAAAAAUUUAUCAUUAGCGUUAAUUUCAAAUAUUACACAACAACAUACAGGUGGAUACAGUCGUAGACUUGAGUGUCAUUAUAAAUCAACCAUUAUUCGGUAUAGACAUUACAGGACAAACCUCAGCUUGUAGUGCCUAUUCGUUGAUAAUGACAGUUAUCUGUAUACAGGAUUUUCGUUUCUGCGGCGUUUUUCUGACUGAUGCUUCUGCUAAUGUUGAUGAUUCUAUCACAUUUAACACUUGUCUACCUUCUAUAACUGAAUAGACUAUUGUCGCACACCAUAAGUGAAUUAAUUCAAUUUAUGCAUAACACAAUGGCACCGUACUUAUUGAAACACUUCCCAGUUCUUUCAGCGGACAUCAUUGCACUGUUCAGGCAUAUAGAACGAGCUGUGAGUUUGUGCGUCUGAAGUUAGCAAACUGGACAAAGGCGAGAACUUCACGGUUUUCUUACGCUCAUAACAACAGCAAAUUGUAUGAGUGCUAACAGUAAUAACAGCCGUAUUAACAGGCCAUUGCUACAGCUAGAGGAAAGAGCAGCUGGCGUAAUUUGCGACGACGACGGCAGCGUUUGCAGCGUCAGCGACUAAGUCAGGUGCGGCUACACACGGAUAAGUUUCGUAGGAGCACACAACAACUUCAAUGCUGGCGCCAAUGUUGCCGUAGUUAUUCUUCCCGCGUGCUUCCGCCUGUAAUUCCAACGUCGACGUUUUCUUGUUCACAGCCGUCGCCACCACCGCCACUACCGUCACCAUCACCGUCACCGUCGUCUUCACUGUCGACUUGGCGCAACCAAGAAUGUCGGGGCUUCCCCGCGCGUUGUCCUUUCCUGGUGGUCGCUGCUACCAGAUCGACCACACGGACCCAGCGAGCCUGGUGCCGCUAUCAACAGCGACAGCCUUGGAAACGACCGCCGUCAGCGGCCGACGAACAAACAAGGAAGGAGUCAUCUGUUCGUUGAGAAAGGACGAAACGGAGAAGUAGACACGAGGGUAAAUGGCGACCGACACAAAAGUUGAAAAGAGAACCACGUGAUACCGGUAGGUUCAGACUUACGGUGAGAGAUUUGUUUUGGAAGAAUGUGCCACAACAGUUAACGAUCUUAGGAGAGAGUGAAGCGACUACGAUACUUUUGCUGUUUCAAUCUAUAAUGUAACAUUUUUCACCUGAUCACUCGAAUUAGGCCCUGAUAAAUAGCUACACCCGUCUAUGUGUACAGUAUCAGCUGAAAGUGGGAAAUCUUGAAUGUGACGUCGUCUUGUUAUAUAAUAUUUAUAUCUGUAGACCAUAUGCGAUUCUUAGGUGAAGAUGUGACACCUUCACUGAAGUAAAGCACUUGGCUUCAAUAUUUCCUGCGAGUCACAAAUUCACAACAAACUGUCUGUGAUAAAUAUCCUUAAUAGAUCUGACGGACAAUUGUACGUUUUGUCAACGUAUCGCAAAUGUGUCAACCUAAGGUUAAAAAAAAGAAAUUUCAAACGAUGCUUAAUUUGGACAAGAUAGAAUUUCAAAAACGCAAAAUAAAAACAGUGAUUACUUUUCACAUGAUUGGAUACCUUAGGUAGACUUAACUUUUAUAAAAGGUGUUAUAAGACUGCAAUAAUGUAAUUUUGUCGAUAUGGUAAACUAGCUACCAAUUAGGUGUGUUUUUAAUGAUAGCAUUUAGUCAUAUUUUUAAGUGGCAUACGUACAAACAUACUUUUUUUUAUGAUAAAUAAGAUUAAAACUGGCUGAAAAGAAAGAUUUGAGUUCUUCGAAGUAUACUAUCGCUCUAUCCUAAAA